Molecule: transfer RNA, 85 nt
Filed under: Felis catus (domestic cat)
Lineage: Eukaryota; Metazoa; Chordata; Mammalia; Carnivora; Felidae
Rfam family: tRNA
About the family: Transfer RNA (tRNA) molecules are approximately 80 nucleotides in length. Their secondary structure includes four short double-helical elements and three loops (D, anti-codon, and T loops).
Source: Rfam by way of RNAcentral
GCCUGGGUGGCUCAGUCGGUUAAGCGUCCGACUUCAGCUCAGGUCAUGAUCUCGCGGUCCGUGGGUUCAAGCCCCGCAUCAGGCU